GCCGGGCGCGGUGGUGCAUGUCUGUAGCCCCAGCUACUCAGGAGGCUGAGGUGGGAGGAUUGCUUGAGCCCAGGAGUUCUAGGCUGUAGUGCGCUAUGCCGAUCGGGUGUCUGCACUAAGUUUGGCAUCAAUAUGGUGACUUCCCGGGAGCGGGGUACCACCAAGUUACCUAAGGAGGGUUGAACUGGCCCAGGUCGGAAAUGGAGCAGGUCAAAACUCCCAUGCUGAUCAGUAGUGGGAUCACGCCUGUGAACAGCCACUGCACUCCAGCCUGGGCAACACAGCGAGUCCCUGUCUCU
RNAcentral lists this signal recognition particle RNA (299 nucleotides) under Cebus imitator (Panamanian white-faced capuchin). RNAcentral describes it as "Metazoan signal recognition particle RNA (ENSCCAG00000002523.1)". It matches the Rfam family "Metazoan signal recognition particle RNA". Rfam says of the family: The signal recognition particle (SRP) is a universally conserved ribonucleoprotein. Lineage: Eukaryota; Metazoa; Chordata; Mammalia; Primates; Cebidae. The record is from RNAcentral.